Molecule: ribosomal RNA, 509 nt
Filed under: Curvularia australiensis
Lineage: Eukaryota; Fungi; Ascomycota; Dothideomycetes; Pleosporales; Pleosporaceae
Description: eukaryotic LSU rRNA
Rfam family: 5.8S ribosomal RNA (bases 138-291)
Source: RNAcentral
GGCUGGACUAUUUAUUACCCUUGUCUUUUGCGCACUUGUUGUUUCCUGGGCGGGUUCGCCCGCCACCAGGACCACCAUAUAAACCUAUGUUCUGCACCCGCAAUCAGCGUCAGUAUAACAAAAGGUAAAUCAUUUACUACUUUCAGCGACGGAUCUCUUGGUUCUGGCAUUGAUGCAGCACGCAGUGAAAUGCGAUACGUAGUAUGAAUUGCAGAAUUCAGUGAAUCAUCGAAUCUUUGAACGCACAUUGCGCCCUGUGGUAUUCCAAAGGGCAUCCCUGUUCGAGCGUCAUUUGUACCCUCAAGCUGUGCUGGGUGUUGGGCGUUUUUUUGUCUUUGGGUCCGCCAAAGACUCGCCUUAAAACGAUUGGCAGCCGGCCUACUGGUUUCGCAGCGCAGCACAUUUUUGCGCUUGCAAUCAGCAAAAGAGGACGGCAAUCCAUCAAGACUCCUUCUCACGUUUGACCUCGGAUCAGGUAGGGAUACCCGCUGAACUUAAGCAUAUCAAUA